UUCUGAUCUUUCUUCUUUUUCUUCUUCUUCUUCUUCGUUAGAUUCAGGAGAGAGAAUCAUCUCAGCAUCAACUCAAGGUUUGGUCUUUUGGUUUGCUCCUCAUUCUUUUCGUUACCCACUCAAGUGGUGAAAUGGCAUGCAAGAAGAUCAGAGAGUAUGAUUCAAAGAGAUUGUUGAAUGAGCAUUUCAAGAGGCUCUCUGGCCGUGAAUUGCCAAUCAAAUCCGCUCAGAUUACCGAAUCAACCGAUCUCAAUGAGUUAGCAAACAAUGAGCCUUGGCUUUCGUCUUCCAAAGUUGUUAAACCCGACAUGUUGUUUGGAAAGCGUGGAAGAACAACUUGGUUGCUUUGAAUCUGGACUACGCUCAAGUUGCCACUUUUGUCAAGGAGCGACUUGGCAUAGAGGAGGAAACCGAAGACACACAG
Molecule: long non-coding RNA, 424 nt
Organism: Morus notabilis
Lineage: Eukaryota; Viridiplantae; Streptophyta; Magnoliopsida; Rosales; Moraceae
Exons: 4
Source: RefSeq, a predicted model, not a curated record